AUUGAACGCUGGCGGCAUGCCUUACACAUGCAAGUCGAACGGUAACGCGGGGGCAACCCUGGCGACGAGUGGCGAACGGGUGAGUAAUACAUCGGAACGUACCCAGUAGUGGGGGAUAGCUCGGCGAAAGCCGGAUUAAUACCGCAUACGACCUAUGGGUGAAAGCGGGGGAUCGCAAGACCUCGCGCUAUUGGAGCGGCCGAUGUCGGAUUAGCUAGUUGGUGAGGUAAAGGCUCACCAAGGCUACGAUCCGUAGCUGGUCUGAGAGGACGACCAGCCACACUGGGACUGAGACACGGCCCAGACUCCUACGGGAGGCAGCAGUGGGGAAUUUUGGACAAUGGGCGCAAGCCUGAUCCAGCCAUGCCGCGUGUGUGAAGAAGGCC
Molecule: ribosomal RNA, 386 nt
Filed under: uncultured bacterium
Lineage: Bacteria
Description: bacterial SSU rRNA
Rfam family: Bacterial small subunit ribosomal RNA
Source: RNAcentral